CACUACCGCGUCGAGACCAUCUCUCCCAGAGCCUACUCUCGAACAAUCCACUCUUCGGCAGGCUGCGAAGAGAAAACCCUCGCAAACCCUCGCAAACUCUCUUUUCCUUUCUCAGGGCUUCAAGGAAGAAAGAAAGGAAAAAAGAAAAAAAGAAGAAGCCCUAAUCCUAACCCUAACCCUAGAAAUGGACGCGAUCAGGAAGCAGCUGGACGUUCUGAUGGGAGCGAACCGUAACGGCGACGUUAGAGAGGUGAAUCGCAAGUACUACGAUCGAGAUGUCUGCCGUCUCUACCUCGUUGGCCUCUGCCCUCAUGAGCUCUUCCAGCUAACGAAAAUGGAUCUGGGUCCAUGCCCGAAGGUGCACUCGCUGCAGCUGAGAAAGGAAUAUGAAGAAGCAAAAGGAAAAAGUACAGACAAUUAUGACAGGGACUUGGAGGAUGUCAUAGAUAGGCUUAUUGUUGAGUGUGAUCGGAAAAUUCAAAGAGCCCUUAAACGACUCGAGGACGAGGAUGCUAAAGCUGCCAUUGCUAUAUCUGUGUCUGAGGUUACGCAGACACCCGAGGUUCUCGAGUUGUCGAAGCAAAUAAAGGAAAAGCUGAAGGAAGUGGAUGCUUAUGAUUUGGAAGGGAAAACAGAUAAUAAAAUUCGGGCUUUGGAAGUGGUGGAAGAGCUCAGAGCCAAACGAGCGGACAAACAGUCCAUGCUUCUACUGGAUGCCUUCAACAAAGACAGAGCUUCUUUACCACAGCCUCUUCCAAACCCUCCUCCAUUGGCUCCAUUGCCAGCACUUGUUCCUCCAGAUGCUCGAACACAGGAAAUGAUAAAUGAGAAGCUGAAGAAGGCAGAGGAUCUUGGUGAGCAAGGAAUGGUAGAUGAAGCACAGAAAGCAUUGGAAGAAGCAGAAGCCCUGAAAAAGUUGGGUGCAAGGCAGGAACCAAUACUGGACUCCUCAAAGUACACUGCUGCUGAUGUGCGCAUUACUGAUCAGAAGCUACGUGUCUGUGACAUUUGUGGAGCAUUCUUGAGCGUAUAUGACAGUCCUUCAGCUUUUGACGGGGCGCAUUAUACCUCCUUGUUACCAGCAGGCUUUUGGGCCCAGUUUUACGAGGAAAACUUUUGCAGCUAAAGAAUUGACCGUCGCUUAGCUGAUCAUUUUGGAGGAAAGCUUCACUUGGGCUAUAUGCAAAUCCGAGAGAAGUUACAAGAGCUUCAGGUGCUGACAUAAUGUUUCACACUCUACCCUAGAGAAUCAGUUAUGUAUGGCAUCAUUCUCUUUACUUUUGGAGUCGAUAUUCUGGUACAGCUGAGCGAUCUUGACAUUUUCCGUACUCAAUAGCCAUGUUCUGCCAUCUCUUACGGUACUUCAGAGGUUUGAAGGAUCUGGCUAUCAUUCUGCAGUAUUGCACGUGUUUUUGUGGGUUUCUAAUUUGAUCAUAGUGACAAAUAAGUGUCUCGUGUGGUGGAAAGGCUAAGUUGGCGGUGGCAGUGGUGUACAUGGGUAAUUGUUGAAGGCAUAUAAAGGUCUGCUCCUAGGGCAUAUGGUGCCUAAUGUAACAAGUCUAUCACCUUAUGGUUACCUGCUCACAGCUUUAUAUUUUCUUCUUCUGUUUUUUGUUUUUGUUUUGACAUGUAGGUUCAUUUUGAACGAAGUGUUAAGAGUAAGAGCUGUUUGCAGCUCUUCUAUGUUUUGAUGUUUCUUUGUACUGUAAAAUUUCUCCAUAUUUGUCAUGAUAAAUACUAUAUGUUAUUGUUAAAUACGAGAGUUUAGUUCCUUGUUUGCUAUUUGACUUCAAGCGUAGUUUCUAAUUGUGGUGAAAUAUCAUGAUGACCUGCAUAUGAUUUAAUGACUUAUGGCUGGCGAGAUCAUUUAGAUGGCUUUAUGCUUCUUGCUUUUGUAUGCAUGCUUAUUGCCUUGUGUCAUUCCUUCCCAGCUGGAAAUACAUUUGAUGCAGUUCAAGUUGUUUUUUUUAGCCGCAUCUCUUAGUAAUUUAAUUUUGCCAGGAAGAGAGAAAUAAGAGUCGGAAGGUAGAUCGAUUGGAAGAUGAUAGAAG
This is an RNA transcript of Magnolia sinica, 2051 nucleotides long. RefSeq lists it as uncharacterized. The record is from RefSeq and is a predicted model, not a curated record. The transcript has 13 exons. NCBI's taxonomy places the organism in Eukaryota, Viridiplantae, Streptophyta, Magnoliopsida, Magnoliales, Magnoliaceae.